GCGUUCCGUUCCGGGCCGAGGCUCGCGGCGGAAAAGUUGCGGUGCAUAGAGGAGCGGCCCCGGGACGGGCAGCUAGCGCGACCCUGAGCCGGCGCCCGUGGUCCGGCCAUGGACGACCUCGGUUGCCCUUUUCACGGUUUGUUCAUAUUCUACCCAGAAAAGACUUAGGAGACUUAGGAGAAGUCAGUACUUUGCAUCCUACCUACACUGCUCUCCUUGGAGAAGGACCUUAUUCUGGAUUUUACAGAGCAAAUCAGAUUUGAUGUUUGUAGCUUCCAAUGUGCUAUGGAGCUUCCUCCUGCAGAGUGACUUGGGUCUGGAGACCCUGAUAUUUGCAACUGAUGUUUGCAGCUUCCAGUGUACCUGCUAGCCCUUAUAAACCUCACACCAGUACUUUGAGGUCAGAGUUAUUCAAGAACUUACUGAGAAAACAGGCCCUGAGAAGCUAAGCGAUUUGCCCUGUGGCAUGGAUAGUAGAGAGGGGAGCUGGCGCUUGAACUCAGGUCUGGCUCGACCUCAGAAUGAGUGAUCUUGUGUCUCUGUGCCCCAGAACUGCAUCCUUUCACCGGUACUUCACCAACCUA
RNAcentral lists this small RNA (584 nucleotides) under Pongo abelii (Sumatran orangutan). RNAcentral describes it as "processed transcript". Lineage: Eukaryota; Metazoa; Chordata; Mammalia; Primates; Hominidae. The record is from RNAcentral.